RNAcentral lists this transfer RNA (67 nucleotides) under Hemitragus jemlahicus (Himalayan tahr). RNAcentral's name for it is "tRNA-Val". It matches the Rfam family "tRNA". Rfam says of the family: Transfer RNA (tRNA) molecules are approximately 80 nucleotides in length. Their secondary structure includes four short double-helical elements and three loops (D, anti-codon, and T loops). Further hydrogen bonds mediate the characteristic L-shaped molecular structure. tRNAs have two regions of fundamental functional importance: the anti-codon, which is responsible for specific mRNA codon recognition, and the 3' end, to which the tRNAs corresponding amino acid is attached (by aminoacyl-tRNA synthetases). tRNAs cope with the degeneracy of the genetic code in two manners: having more than one tRNA (with a specific anti-codon) for a particular amino acid; and 'wobble' base-pairing, i.e. permitting non-standard base-pairing at the 3rd anti-codon position. The record is from RNAcentral. Lineage: Eukaryota; Metazoa; Chordata; Mammalia; Artiodactyla; Bovidae.
CAAGAUAUAGCUUAAUCAAAGCACCUAGUUUACACCUAGAAGAUUUCACAGAUUAUGAAUAUCUUGA